Long non-coding RNA from Clupea harengus (Atlantic herring), 1662 nucleotides. The record is from Ensembl. NCBI's taxonomy places the organism in Eukaryota, Metazoa, Chordata, Actinopteri, Clupeiformes, Clupeidae.
CCGUGUUUUGCUUCCGGGUUGCCUCUCGCUUAGUAUGGUGGUGUGGGAUUGCAAGUUGCACUACUUGGACGAAUGCUGCUAACGAAGGGCGUGCGUGUGCAUCUGUGUGUGGGUGUGUGCCUGUAGCCAAGGUAACCCAGGUUACUGUGACCAGGGCCGCUACUCCCCGCUGACCGUCGGAAGUCCUCCCAGUCUUAAGUCAUUCUGCUAAAGCUAAGUAGCCUCAGUAGGAUAGCCACACUAUUAAAUCCUCUCCUUGCCUCUUUACUGUCAAGUGUUUUGCUAACCCCAGUGCCUCUAUGUCUCCCUGGACAGGUGCAGUGGGUUUCACUUGAGUGACAGGCUGACCCCCAGGGGGUGUGGAGCCCCCCGCCCCGCCCACUUUUCCUUGCUGUGUGCAUAACGGUUGCCCUAUUUUGGAGUGCAGUGCUUACUUGUUUUAUGCACGUGUGGUGUGUGUCUUCUGGGCCUCUCCUGUCCCCCUCUCGGAGUCCUGUUCGCUGCGGUAAGCCCCUGCCCUGCUCCACUUAUCCCCUACUAGUUCUGGCCACUAGUCAAUCUCAGUAAGGCUCUGGCCAUCCUACCUGUUUCAUAUUGGGGUCAUAGCCCACUGGCCAACAUCGUAUGUAUCUACAGUGUGUGUUUAAUGCAUGUAUAUGUACUGGAAAUAACUGUUUGGUUGUUUGUGUGAGCGGCAACAGCCUGUGCUGGCAUUUCCCUGUACUUUUAUUCCUGUUUGUAUUCCCGUGAAUAAAUUAUAUUUUUCUGGAACCCAUGUCUCUGCCCUAAGAGUGUGACGAACUUGUGUUUGCCUUGUUAGAACGAAAGCAAAGCUCAGUCUAUUUUAGUCCUAGGGUGACUACCUAGGUGGCGUAGUCGACAUUUAAAUUUAUCCUAUCAAAUGACCUCGCCACUGUCACAAUUGCAAGGUUGUUAUCUAGUUAGAUACCUAUCACCUCCUUACCAUGUGUAGUUUUACAUUUCCUUGUAAAUCGCUUUGAAUAAAAGCAUCUGCUAAAUGACAAUGUAUUAAUAAGAAAUUCAAUAAAUUGAAGCAGUGAAAAGAAAUUGAGUUUCUCUUCUUAUGAGUCCACCUUAAUCAUUUUCUACAAUAAUUAUAUGCUAUGGUGUACUAAUAACACUGAGUGCUUUGUUCUCCGCAUUGCCGACACUACAAAAAUGUACCACUCACAAAAAAGCAUAAGAUGGUCAAUGCUCGGCUGUGGUGUUUGCAAUAAAUGCAUCGAGAAGGUCUCGUAAAUAAAUUAUUCCUUGUCGGCUGAAUCGGUAGCGCUCAUACAAUAACUCAUCAUGCUGGAAUAACGGAUCUUGGCGAUCACGAAGAACUCUCCCUAUGAAACGCUAAUCUAACUAAUAUCGCAACUUUUGUCAAUGGGAUCUCUCCUUUUUCCGGGGGUCUGGCAAGCUUAUCCAGCUUCACUUAAAUUAGCCUGCGCUGGAGCAGGUUCAAGUUUAUUGAUGUGUUGCUAUGGUGAUUUAGCCAAAGUUGCUUCGACGAACAGAAAAGAGGGUCUUAUAUUCUCUCAUCCUGAUAAUGAUCUCGGUAACUCGCUAAACGAGGUACGACGAACAGGGCCAAGGUGCAAUUUAUAUACAGUUUAUAUCAUCUUCACUUCAGUGGUUUUUCCUUAAUAUAAAUGA